GUAUCCGUAGCUCAGCUGGAUAGAGCAACGGCCUUCUCAGCCGUGGGUCUGGGGUUCGAAUCCCCACGGGUACA
This 74-nucleotide transfer RNA is filed under the name Lachnospiraceae bacterium. RNAcentral describes it as "tRNA-Arg". It matches the Rfam family "tRNA". Rfam says of the family: Transfer RNA (tRNA) molecules are approximately 80 nucleotides in length. Their secondary structure includes four short double-helical elements and three loops (D, anti-codon, and T loops). The record is from RNAcentral. Lineage: Bacteria; Bacillati; Bacillota; Clostridia; Lachnospirales; Lachnospiraceae.